Molecule: non-coding RNA, 912 nt
Organism: Heterocephalus glaber (naked mole-rat)
Lineage: Eukaryota; Metazoa; Chordata; Mammalia; Rodentia; Bathyergidae
Source: the annotation of a RefSeq genome assembly
AGAGGUCUUGGAGAACCAGGCCCAGUGCUGAGGUGUCAGAAGAUAGGACUCUUGGAGCAUCUCCACCAUGGCCUGGGGGGCUCUGCUUCUCCUCACCAUUCUCACUCAGGACACAGGGUGCUGGGCCCAAUCUGCUCUGACUCAGCCUCCCACAGCCUCUGGGUCUCUUGGAGGGAAGGUCACCAUCUCCUGUACUGGAACCAGCAGUGAUAUUGGAAGCUACAAUGAUGUCUCCUGGUACCAGCAGCUGCAAGGAACAUCCCCCAAACUUCUGAUAUAUGAUGUCAGCAAUCGGCCUUCAGGGAUCCCUGAUCGCUUCUCUGGCUCCAAGUCUGGCAACACAGCCUCCCUGAGCAUUGAUAGACUCCAGGCUGAGGACGAGGCUGAUUAUUACUGCUCUUCAUAUACAACUUCUAGCACGUAUGUCUUCGGCAGCGGGACCCAACUCACCGUCGUAGGUCAGCCCAAGGCCGCCCCCUCAGUCACUCUAUUCCCGCCUUCUCCUGAGGAGCUCCAGACCAGCAAGGCCACACUGGUGUGUCUGAUAAAUGACUUCUACCCGAAAGACGUGACGGUGGCCUGGAAGGCAGAUGGCACUGCAGUCACCCAGGGAGUUCAGACCACGCAGCCCUCCAAACAGAGCAACAACAAGUACAUGGCCAGCAGCUACCUGACCAUGACUCCAGAUGAGUGGAGAUCUCACAAUACAUUCACCUGCCACGUCACACAUGAAUCUGGCAAUGUGGAGAAGAGUCUGGCCCCUGCAGAGUGUUCCUAGAACAAUGAUCUCCAUCUUCUUCUCAGAGGGCGAAGCAGAAGGACCCUGAGGAAGAGUCCCCUUUCCUACCCCACCAACCUUUUCCUGCCUUUCUUCUGAACCCGAAAAUGCUCAAUAAAAUAGGCCCUGUCAAU